GAGUUUGAUCCUGGCUCAGAACGAACGCUGGCGGCGUGCCUAACACAUGCAAGUCGAACGUGAUCCAGAGCUUGCUCUGGUGAAAGUGGCGCACGGGUGAGUAACGCGUGGAUAACCUACCCUGGUAUCCGGGAUAACAUUCCGAAAGGGGUGCUAAUACCGGAUAAGCCCACGGGCUCUUUGGAGCUUGCGGGAAAAGGUGGCCUCUAUUUAUAAGCUACUGUAUCAGGAUGGGUCCGCGUACCAUUAGCUAGUUGGCGGUGUAACGGACCACCAAGGCGACGAUGGUUAGCUGGUCUGAGAGGAUGAUCAGCCACACUGGAACUGAGACACGGUCCAGACUCCUACGGGAGGCAGCAGUGGGGAAUUUUGCGCAAUGGGGGAAACCCUGACGCAGCAACGCCGCGUGAGUGAUGAAGGCCUUUGGGUCGUAAAGCUCUGUCAGAGGGGAAGAAAUGAUAUAGUGCUAAUACCACUUUAUCUUGACGGUACCCCCAAAGGAAGCACCGGCUAACUCCGUGCCAGCAGCCGCGGUAAUAC
Molecule: ribosomal RNA, 540 nt
Filed under: uncultured Geobacteraceae bacterium
Lineage: Bacteria; Pseudomonadati; Thermodesulfobacteriota; Desulfuromonadia; Geobacterales; Geobacteraceae
Description: bacterial SSU rRNA
Rfam family: Bacterial small subunit ribosomal RNA
Source: RNAcentral